GCAUGCAUCAUCAGUUGGGAAAUGGAGGCUUGUGUGGUGGUUUUUGAGGUGGCUUGACAGGGCGAGUUGGGGGCUUCUUCCCAGUACCAGUUGGGGGGUUUUAGUUUCCGAGGUGGCUUGUGAUCUGAGUCUCUUCCCUCCUCCACCACAUUCUCUUCAAGAUGACCAUCAUGAUGAGGUGGCUCAUCUCCCUUACCCUUCGGUGGCUUAUCUCCCUUACCCUUUGGAGGCUGCUUAACUGGCUUUGGUUUUGGGUCGUGUUCAGGGAAUGGCUUGUGAUCUCCAUCGUCAUUAUGUUCAAGUGGGGUUGGUGGCUUGCCUUUUGGAGGUGGCUUUGGCUUCUUUCCCUUAGGAGGCAAUUUCCCAUCCAAUGACUCUGCCUCUAAUAAACGACGUCCGGUGUUUUGUUUGUGAGGCGGCUUGUGCUCCGGUGGUGGCUUCUUACCCUUGGGAGGUUCAUCAUGACCUGGGCUUCCCUUGUUCUUCGGUGGUGGCUUUUCUCCUUUUUGGGAUUCCUGAUCACCUGGGUGUCCUGGUUUGUGCUUGGGCGGUGGCUUCUCUCCUUUCUUCGGUGGCUCGUCACCUGGGUGUCCAAUACCUGGGGUAUGUCCUGGUGGUCCUCUCUUCGGUGGCUCAUCACCUGGCUGUCCUGGUUUGUGCUCUGGUGGCGGCUUUUGUCCCUUUGGAGGCUGAUUGUGCUCUUGAGGUGGCUUUUGUCCCUCGGGAAAUUUGCCUU
RNAcentral lists this long non-coding RNA (736 nucleotides) under Malus domestica (apple). RNAcentral's name for it is "long non-coding RNA (MDOM_LNC015907)". Lineage: Eukaryota; Viridiplantae; Streptophyta; Magnoliopsida; Rosales; Rosaceae. The record is from RNAcentral.